This 102-nucleotide ribosomal RNA is filed under the name Faecalibaculum rodentium. RNAcentral describes it as "partial 16S ribosomal RNA". It matches the Rfam family "Bacterial small subunit ribosomal RNA", at positions 1 to 108 of the family's 1533-position model. The record is from RNAcentral. Lineage: Bacteria; Bacillati; Bacillota; Erysipelotrichia; Erysipelotrichales; Erysipelotrichaceae.
UCAAAUGGAGAGUUUGAUCCUGGCUCAGGAUGAACGCUGGCGGCAUGCCUAAUACAUGCAAGUCGAACGAGAGACCUUCGGGUCUCUAGUGGCGAACGGGUG